UCCCAAAUACCCCUCAUUUCGGAGCAAAACAUCAACAAUCCUUCCCUCUCUUGAAGAUCUCACUAAGGUAUUCUCUAAGAAGCCCUUAAACUCUAUGUUUUGAUUCAUUUACUCUUGCUCAUCACUAUUCUUCUAAACAGCAGUAGUUAUGGGAUUUAGAAGAUCCUCAAGGGACAAAGGAAAGAGGAGAUUAGUAGAAGAUUUUGAUCU
This 210-nucleotide long non-coding RNA is filed under the name Musa acuminata (dwarf banana). RNAcentral describes it as "long non-coding RNA (MACU_LNC007134)". Lineage: Eukaryota; Viridiplantae; Streptophyta; Magnoliopsida; Zingiberales; Musaceae. The record is from RNAcentral.